RNAcentral lists this transfer RNA (87 nucleotides) under Candidatus Poribacteria bacterium. RNAcentral's name for it is "tRNA-Leu". It matches the Rfam family "tRNA". Rfam says of the family: Transfer RNA (tRNA) molecules are approximately 80 nucleotides in length. Their secondary structure includes four short double-helical elements and three loops (D, anti-codon, and T loops). Further hydrogen bonds mediate the characteristic L-shaped molecular structure. tRNAs have two regions of fundamental functional importance: the anti-codon, which is responsible for specific mRNA codon recognition, and the 3' end, to which the tRNAs corresponding amino acid is attached (by aminoacyl-tRNA synthetases). tRNAs cope with the degeneracy of the genetic code in two manners: having more than one tRNA (with a specific anti-codon) for a particular amino acid; and 'wobble' base-pairing, i.e. permitting non-standard base-pairing at the 3rd anti-codon position. Lineage: Bacteria; Candidatus Poribacteria. The record is from RNAcentral.
GCCGAGAUGGCGGAAUUGGUAGACGCGCUAGCCUCAGGAGCUAGUGGGCGCAAGCCCAUGGGGGUUCGAGUCCCCCUCUCGGCACCA